AUUGAACGCUGGCGGCAGGCCUAACACAUGCAAGUCGAGCGAGCGGCGGACGGGUGAGUAAUGUAUGGGGAACUGCCUGAUGGAGGGGGAUAACUACUGGAAACGGUAGCUAAUACCGCAUACUAUCAGAUGAGCCCAGAGGGGAUUAGCUAGUAGGGGUGGUAAUGGCUUACCUAGGCGACGAGCCCUAGCUGGUCUGAGAGGAUGAUCAGCCACACUGGGACUGAGACACGGCCCAGAAUCCUACGUGAGGCAGCAGUGGGGAAUAUUGCACAAUGGGCGCAAGCCUGAUGCAGCCAUGCCGCGUGGAUGAAGAAGGCCCUAGGGUUGUAAAGUACUUUCAGUGGGGAGGCGUUACCGGGAGAAGAAGCACCGGCUAACUCCGUGCCAGCAGCCGCGGUAAUAC
RNAcentral lists this ribosomal RNA (406 nucleotides) under uncultured bacterium. Its description in RNAcentral is "partial 16S ribosomal RNA". It matches the Rfam family "Bacterial small subunit ribosomal RNA", at positions 29 to 526 of the family's 1533-position model. The record is from RNAcentral.